AUUGAACGCUGGCGGCAGGCCUAACACAUGCAAGUCGAACGGUAACAGGAAGAAGCUUGCUUCUUUGCUGACGAGUGGCGGACGGGUGAGUAAUGUCUGGGAAACUGCCUGAUGGAGGGGGAUAACUACUGGAAACGGUAGCUAAUACCGCAUAACGUCGCAAGACCAAAGAGGGGGACCUUCGGGCCUCUUGCCAUCGGAUGUGCACAGAUGGGAUUAGCUAGUAGGUGGGGUAACGGCUCACCUAGGCGACGAUCCCUAGCUGGUCUGAUAGGAUGACCAGCCACACUGGAACUGAGACACGGUCCAGACUCCUACGGGAGGCAGCAGUGGGGAAUAUUGCACAAUGGGGGCAAGCCUGAUGCAGCCAUGCCGCGUGUAUGAAGAAGGCCUUCGGGUUGUAAAGUACUUUCAGCGGGGAGGAAGGGAGUAAAGUUAAUACCUUUGCUCAUUGACGUUACCCGCAGAAGAAGCACCGGCUAACUCCGUGCCAGCAGCCGCCGUAA
RNAcentral lists this ribosomal RNA (506 nucleotides) under uncultured bacterium. RNAcentral describes it as "partial 16S ribosomal RNA". It matches the Rfam family "Bacterial small subunit ribosomal RNA", at positions 30 to 523 of the family's 1533-position model. The record is from RNAcentral.